Molecule: long non-coding RNA, 3725 nt
Organism: Felis catus (domestic cat)
Lineage: Eukaryota; Metazoa; Chordata; Mammalia; Carnivora; Felidae
Exons: 3
Source: RefSeq, a predicted model, not a curated record
AGGGUAGGAGAAAGAAGGUUAGAAAAGACCUGUACCUCGCUUCCUAUCUGGAAGUCUGAGCAGGAGAGUUCUUCACAAGAGUCCUAGUUGGCAUCAUCACAGUAGAGUAGGAGCAACUGGGAUGCCUGUAUGGAGAAGCUGAGGCAAUCCCACCAACUUUUUGUAGCCCCGGAGAGUAAAAGCCCCUGAAAAGUAUAUAGCUGUAAAUUCCUAGAGUGAGCUAGGGGACCUGAAGAGGUCUCACAGUUGUAACAAGAGGAAACACCAGCAGAUGGCAGCAUGGACUAUACUGUACAACUGGGGACCACAGCCAUUUUAGUGAAGCCAACCAUCAAUAGGUGUUAAUAGCCUUCACAAAAGAUGCAAACAUGAACAGAACCCAACUGAGGGACUAAUCACAUUCUGCCAACACCAUGACCCUCUAGAAGAUUCCCAGAAUUUAUGUGCCUCUUUAAGGACAAACAGGUAAGGGAGUGAAGUCCUGAGUUGCCAUAAUUUAAACUUGAAGUAACUGGAUUUAUACAAGUGAAUAAAAUCCACCUGUUAUCACGUGGAACAAGAGGGGUGCAGAGGGGUUGCUGGAAAGGUAAAUAUUCAAAAACAAAGGAAAAUAUUACUAUAUUUUUAUUUCUUGCACUCAUGAGUAUAGCUUAAGAAAAUUAUACACUGGAAAUGUCUGCAUGGCAAAAAAAAAUUGUAAACAAAGUCAAAAGAUAAGUGAUCAAGUAAGAGCAAAUAAGGAACUUAUUUGCCAAACAAGGGGCUAAUUUCCUUGAUAUACAAAGAACACUUAGUACCAAGGAAAAGUUCAUUUUUAUUAGACAAAGAGAACUAUACAAUGACAACUGCAAUUCAUUCACCUGAAAUGUGCACCCCUUACUGGAAUUUUAUGAUGGGAUAAAAAGAGGGGGGAAAUGUGGUAAAAAAUUAAACCUUGAAUAAAGAAAAACUUACAAUUAACUGACAUAUUCAUUAUUGAAAAUGAGUUUAUUGGAUGAUUUGAAUCUAUGAUAUAUUAGUUAAAAUCUAGAUAGUCAAUCAUUCUGCCUUUUACCAUAUUGCAAUGUCACAGGAUCCACAUUAUCAGCUGCCCUUUCUUUCCACAGGCCCCUAGGAACUCUGAAUAUAGAUCACUCACUGUUCUCAGGAAUUUCCUCUCUAGUAAGGCUGACUAUAAAGCCAGACCCAUUCUAACUAGCCCUCCUUCACUUUUCUCCCCAUGUAUAAACAAUCCUAUGUUAAUGUUAAAGGCUUACCUUCAAAUUAAUUGUGGGAAGCAGACAAAAACUAACAUAAAGAGAACAGAACUAUCAAAGCCACUACUCCAUAUUCCAGGCUUCAGGGCACCAUUUCUAAGUGAGUAUUUUCAAUGUAGGAUAAUUACUACAUAUGAAAAAAAGUUUGUUUUAGUGUAUGUGGUGGCUUUCUUAUGUAUAUAGUAAACUUGGAAAUUAUAGAGAGGUAGAAGAAAGAAAAAGUGUCACUUGUAGUUCUCCCAUGUAACAUCACUACAGUCAACACUUUGCUUCAUUUUCUCUAGCCUACAGCACCUCAUUUUUAAAAAAUAUAUGUUUCCCAUUUUUAUAAUUUACAUUUUUACAUAACAACAAAGGUCUUUCCAGAGAACUUUAAACUUUCCUCAAGUAUCCUCUUUAAUGAUGCAGAAUGGAUAAUUUACUUGAAUAUUCUUCACUCUUAUGACAGGUUAUUUCUAGUUCUGACUUGCUGAAAGUAUUGCAGAAAUUGAUACUUUUGUAACAGAUUUGAGCAUUUUUUUUUCUGGAACUGAAAGUUCUUCAGGAGAGUUGCCCAACGGAGGAACUGUUAGAUUAGAAGCAUGUACAUUUUUAAAGCUCUUGAUUUAUUCUGCAAAACUUUCUUUCCUCAAGUGUUCAACCUAUCUGUCACUGAAAAUGCACAAGAGUAUUGGCAGUUCGAUGUCACUCUCAGUCGCACUGGGCGUCUCCUUUUGUUUUAAUAUUUUGGUGUUCAAGUUAGAAAGAGAGCCAAACGCUAAUAUGCUUGUUCAUCCUCAAGUUUCUCUUGUGCUUUAAAAAAAGCACCAGUGAUUACCACCGCGCCCAAACAUCAAUUAAUGCCUGAUGAUGAUUAUGAUGUUGAUGUAGUCAGAACAGAGGAGCCCUUGAUUAUUCUCCAUCUCUGUGUCAGAUCUUCAGUGUAUAUCUAAAUAUAACCCCAGAUCAUCCAUUUGGACUGAAUUGCUUUAUAAUCAGUAAAACUGAAUUUUCCCCCUGAAUUUACUGAAACUUUUUGUCUCACAUAGGAGUCAUAGCCUAAAGGUUAUGAAGAUUCUAGCCUUCUCUGCUUGUAUAAAUUAAUAAUACCAGGAUCAACAUUUCCUUCUAUUUAUUUAUAUUUAAAGCACCUGACAUGAGAAUUUAGGGGAUUCAGCCAGAUUUAAUCCUUUAUUUCAAUAGUUUACAUUUCUUUACUUUUACUAUUUUUUUUUCUUUUUCUAUAGCACUCACUUUGUGGUUUUUAUUAUGUUAUGGCUGGAUUUUAUGAUAUUAAUGGCCAGAUUCCAGCUGAUUGGUUAGAAGGGGGGAGAGGUAGUGAUGACAGAUAAAGAUGAGAUCUGCAGGGCUUGAAAUCCUGUUCUCAGCAAUUUUUUCUCUUUUCUCCUGGGAUCCAUUGUAAGACAGCGUCAUUUCAUAAAGUGUCAGGUAAUUGUUAACACUAGAAAUAUGUACUUAAAUUUUCAAAGAACUAGAAUAAAUAUUCAAUCCAUACAGACAUAAUUAGAAUGAUACAUUUUAUGUCUACCCAAUUCCCUUGGAUACAUUUGCUCUAUUUCCCAAUAGAACAGAAAACACAUCCUAUGAAAUCUGUCAGGGAGUUGCCAAAGGACAUUCUGCUGCUUCCUUUAAAAGCACUGAACUUAAGAGAAGCGUAUAGCUGUCCGUAACUCAAAGGAUUCCUUGUUCAAAGACUAAUGGCACCGCGGCUGCACAUUAUCGUGAUUUUCUUUCAUAACAGAGGAUUCAAAGGUAUUAAAGAGGCCUCAGUAAAUUAGCAUGCUUUUAUGAUCAAUUUUAAUUAAUCAUUUGAGUAAGACAAUGUGCCACUACAUACAUCAUAUGGAGGAAUUUAUCACAGUGUCACUUGCUUAUAAUAAAAAAUAACCCUUAUUAUCAUAAAAGCUCCUUAAAAUGGAGGAGGAAAAGACAUUAAAAGUGGCAGGAUAGAGAAAAGAAAGGAAAAGGGAUGGAAAGAAAAUAGAUAAUAAAGACAGAGAAGCAUUGUAAUAUUUAAAUGCUAACAGUGAGUCUAUCUUUGUUAACUUAUCGUGUUUGGCAGUACAAAUGAACAACAGAGUAGGGAAAGGCACGAUAUGUUAAAUUAUUAUGGGUAUGUCAGAUAAGCAUUUUGUCUGAUGUUUCCAUCUCUGCUGGAAGGCUGGCUUAAAACUGUGUGACCUAUUCUCCAGGGAGUCAAAGAUAAACACCAGCAAUUGUGUAAUUCCUCCCACUCUGAUAAAGAUAAAUAUGUUCAUAUUUUUCCCAGCUAAUCCUCCUUGUUGGAUGAUAACAUAAGGCUGCAUCCAUGUGACAUACAGAGAUUCAAGAUAUCUGCACAAGCAUCCAGCUAUCUGUAAUACUGUCUGCCCACUAGGUCAUCUUGUUAUCAGGGACCCUUUCAGAUUAAACAAGUUUGUGGUAAAUUAAUGCAAAAAUAAAUCUAUAAAUCUGAAUCUAAGGCAGUGG